Ziziphus jujuba (common jujube) is the source of this 1481-nucleotide long non-coding RNA. RefSeq lists it as uncharacterized. NCBI's taxonomy places the organism in Eukaryota, Viridiplantae, Streptophyta, Magnoliopsida, Rosales, Rhamnaceae. The record is from RefSeq and is a predicted model, not a curated record. The transcript is spliced from 4 exons.
GGUAGGACCGUAAAAACAUAAAAAUUCAGACACAUUUUCGCUUUUUUUCAUUCUCUAGUUGUGCAUCUGAGAAUAAGAUUCUUUUUCAAUCAUUUUUGGAGCUGAUAUUUAACUAUACCUAUACUAAUACUCCUCAGAUCGAAUUAAUCUUUCAUAUAUAUAUAUAUAUAUAUAAAUGUGAGAGUGUGUGUGUGUGUGUGUGUGUAUUGCCCUUCAUUUGUUAUAUAUAUAUAUAUAUAUAAGUAUAUUUUUUAUGCGAAGGAAGGUGUAUAUAAAUAUAUGUAUGCAUGAUUCAUCACAAUUUUUUUUGGGUAAAAAAUGUAUGUAUUGUAUACAUGAUUGUAUGCAGGAAGCGUCUCUGUUGAUAUAGAGAUCAUCAGAAAAUGUGAAAAAUUAAGUUUGGGGGGGGAAGAGGAUCCAUACUUGUUUAGCACAAACAAUUUCCUUGGGAGGCAGAUAUGGGAGUAUGAUGCUGAUGCAGGAAGCCCAGAAGAGAGAGAGGAGGUCGAAAAGGCUCGCCAACAUUUCUACCAAAACCGAUUCAACCUCAAUGCCUGUAGCGACCUUCUCUUGCGCUUCCAGCUUCUAAGAGAAAAGAAAUUCAAACAAAGCAUUCCUCGAGAGAAGGUUGAAGAUGGCGAUUAGAAAAUUAGUAUAAAACUGCUGAUGCAACAAUGAGAAGAGCAAUCAACUUCUGGUCUGCCUUGCAAAGUCCACAAGGCCAUUGGCCUGUUCUGAAUGCUGGUGUUAUGUUCUACGUCCCUCUCUCUGGACACUUCAUACCGUAUUCAAUGAACAUCAUCGAAGGGCAAUGCUGUGGUAUAUGUACUGCCAUCAGCACUAAAGGAGUAAGUGAUGGACCAAGCAGAAAAUUGAAGCACAAAAUUUGAGAUCGUACAGUUGCAAGUGACUGCUGAGAAAAUUAAAAAAAUAAAGAUUUGAAGCUCUCACACCAACACACACACACACACACAUAUAAAGAAAGACACACACACACACACACACACACACACACAUAUAAAGAAAGAGAGAGAGGGGGAGAUAAAGAGAUAGAGAAGCAUUGGUGGUGGUUUGUCUUCCAUUAAUGUAAGUUGCUGUUUUGAACAAAAUAGAAAAUGUUAUGCAAGUUGAUGAUGCUGCAUUAAUGCAUUAAUAUUGAAUACGACACGAUUUGAAGGUACAGAGUCACUCCCAGAAUGAAGCCAUUAUGGGAAUAAGUGAUAUGCAAUGCAAAUGAUCUAAGCAUUCGAAAAUAAAUGACUGACAUUAAGAAAUGGAGUUUUUAAAAAAUUUGCAAUGGGUUGUUUUGUUGCAGUGGUAACUGUAGUAUUUUUACACUCAAGUCCAUUGAAUUUUUACAUGCUAAAUUACCAUUGAGUUCUUCAGGAGGAAGUAUGCUUAUCAGGCUUAUAACAAAGAACUAAGUAUAUAAGCUAAGUGGUGAUACAUUUUUCUUUACUUUUGUCAUGUUUAUAGAUGUA